Ictalurus punctatus (channel catfish) is the source of this 905-nucleotide long non-coding RNA. RefSeq lists it as uncharacterized. The transcript is spliced from 4 exons. The record is from RefSeq and is a predicted model, not a curated record. NCBI's taxonomy places the organism in Eukaryota, Metazoa, Chordata, Actinopteri, Siluriformes, Ictaluridae.
AAAAAGAAAGAAAAUAAAAGUUAUGCUUGGUUAAAAGGCUUACACUUUAAACAUGUACACAUUACUACCCAUCUGAACAUCCAGCUUGUUUUGCUGAGCUACAAGACACCAAAACACAAGCUGAACUGGUACUUUUACUGAUGGUCAAAGCUGGCAGAAAGGAAACUGCAUUACUAAUACAACUGCUAGACAGACAAGACAUUUUAAAGAAGAUAUCACAAGAGUAAGGCAAUUGUAAAAUAAUUAACACAACAGGGGACAGUGGUGGCUUGGUGGUUAUGGCUCUGGGUUACUGAUCGGAAGGUCGGGGGUUGAUUCCCCAGCUCUGCCAAGCUGCCACUGUUGGGCCCAUGAGCAAGGCCCUUAACCCUCUCUACUCCAGGGGGCGCUGUAUCAUGGCUGACCCUGCACUCUGACCCAGCUUCCUGACAGGCUGGGAGUCGGCGAUGAAGCAGCAACAGGAGCAACAAGGAGUGGUGGAGGUUAAAGGUCGUGAUAGGCCUGAUGGUGAAGCUUCUGCAGUCUAAGGUGCAUCUUAAGGGUGGUGCGAGGACAGGGGAAGGCCUGGUGGAGGUCCUGAAGGCCUGAAGGGCUUCGCGUGGGUGAUGACCACUGGAGCUUGCAGUCGGCUAGCGUGGUAUGCAGAGAACUGGGCUUCGGCACUGCUAAAGAGGCUCUGACUGAUGCACGCAUGAUCCAAGAUCCGUAUAACUGGAGGCCGUACACAACUGGAGGGUCGGGUGGAGAUUCUGGCCACUAAUGCUGAUGCUUUAGUGCUGCCUGAUCUGUGGGGAUGACUGGACUUCUUGAGAGGCCAUGGUGGCAUGCAGGCAGCUGGGACUGGGACAUGCUAGCAGCGGCCUCAGAGUAAGAAUUCCCAGAAUUUCAAGAGCAUGUGUAUUAUA